ACUCAAAGGAAUAGACGGGGGCCCGCACAAGCAGUGGAGUAUGUGGUUUAAUUCGAAGCAACGCGAAGAACCUUACCAGGUCUUGACAUCCAACGAAUCCCUUAGAGAUAGGGGAGUGCCUUCGGGAGCGUUGAGACAGGUGGUGCAUGGUUGUCGUCAGCUCGUGUCGUGAGAUGUUGGGUUAAGUCCCGCAACGAGCGCAACCCUUACCAUUAGUUGCUACGCAAGAGCACUCUAAUGGGACCGCUACCGACAAGGUGGAGGAAGGUGGGGACGAGGUCAAAUCAUCAUGCCCUUUAUGACCUGGGCUACACACGUACUACAAUGGCCGCCAACAACGGGACGCGAACCCGCGAGGGGAAGCAAACCCCCAAAAGCGGCCUCAGUUCGGAUCGCAGGCUGCAACCCGCCUGCGUGAAGUCGGAAUUGCUAGUAAUCGCGGAUCAGCAUGCCGCGGUGAAUACGUUCCCGGGCCUUGUACACACCGCCCGU
RNAcentral lists this ribosomal RNA (492 nucleotides) under uncultured bacterium. Its description in RNAcentral is "bacterial SSU rRNA". It matches the Rfam family "Bacterial small subunit ribosomal RNA", at positions 899 to 1397 of the family's 1533-position model. The record is from RNAcentral.